GACGUAGGGGGCUAGCGUUGUCCGGAAUCAUUGGGCGUAAAGAGCGUGUAGGCGGCCCGGUCAGUCGGUUGUGAAAGUCAGGGGCUCAACCCUUGAAUGCCGACCGAUACUGCCGGGCUAGAGUCCGGAAGAGGCGAGUGGAAUUCCUGGUGUAGCGGUGAAAUGCGCAGAUAUCAGGAGGAACACCAAUGGCGAAGGCAGCUCGCUGGGACGGUACUGACGCUGAGACGCGAAAGCGUGGGGAGCAAACAGG
RNAcentral lists this ribosomal RNA (253 nucleotides) under uncultured bacterium. RNAcentral describes it as "partial 16S ribosomal RNA". It matches the Rfam family "Bacterial small subunit ribosomal RNA", at positions 524 to 776 of the family's 1533-position model. The record is from RNAcentral.